This 362-nucleotide long non-coding RNA is filed under the name Mytilus galloprovincialis (Mediterranean mussel). The record is from RNAcentral. Lineage: Eukaryota; Metazoa; Mollusca; Bivalvia; Mytilida; Mytilidae.
UUGGGGCAAGUAUGGACACAACAUUCAAGCUGGAUUCAGCUCUGAAUUUGGAUUGUGAUUAAAUAGUUGACACAGCAUAGGUUUCUGACACAGAAUGAAUGUUGUCUAAUGAACUAAAACAUUUUUUUUGCUUUUGAGCAAUUCACUUUGCUGUUGAAUAUUAAUCCUCUAAAAAAAAAAAGAUGUUUGAAGAAAUUUUCUUUUUAUUUCUGAAAUCUGAAAAAUUGAACACCCACCCAUUUUUUUUUCAUCUUCCCCUUUCCCUUAUUCCAAAAAUGAUCUCAAUUCAAAUUUCUAAUGAAGUUUGCAACAAUAACUACUCAUGUAAAUACAUCAUAAAAUAUUAAAAUAUAAAAUGUCAU